This 941-nucleotide ribosomal RNA is filed under the name uncultured bacterium. RNAcentral describes it as "bacterial SSU rRNA". It matches the Rfam family "Bacterial small subunit ribosomal RNA", at positions 45 to 985 of the family's 1533-position model. The record is from RNAcentral.
GGCAGCUACACAUGCAAGUCGAGCGGUAGAGAGAAGCUUGCUUCUCUUGAGAGCGGCGGACGGGUGAGUAAUGCCUAGGAAUCUGCCUAGUGGUGGGGGAUAACGUUCGGAAACGGACGCUAAUACCGCAUACGUCCUACGGGAGAAAGCGGGGGAUCUUCGGACCUCGCGCCAUUAGAUGAGCCUAGGUCGGAUUAGCUAGUUGGUGAGGUAAUGGCUCACCAAGGCGACGAUCCGUAACUGGUCUGAGAGGAUGAUCAGUCACACUGGAACUGAGACACGGUCCAGACUCCUACGGGAGGCAGCAGUGGGGAAUAUUGGACAAUGGGCGAAAGCCUGAUCCAGCCAUGCCGCGUGUGUGAAGAAGGUCUUCGGAUUGUAAAGCACUUUAAGUUGGGAGGAAGGGCAGUAACCUAAUACGUUAUUGUUUUGACGUUACCGACAGAAUAAGCACCGGCUAACUUCGUGCCAGCAGCCGCGGUAAUACGAAGGGUGCAAGCGUUAAUCGGAAUUACUGGGCGUAAAGCGCGCGUAGGUGGUUCAGUAAGUUGGAAGUGAAAUCCCCGGGCUCAACCUGGGAACUGCUUUCAAAACUGCUGAGCUAGAGUACGGUAGAGGGUGGUGGAAUUUCCUGUGUAGCGGUGAAAUGCGUAGAUAUAGGAAGGAACACCAGUGGCGAAGGCGACCACCUGGACUGAUACUGACACUGAGGUGCGAAAGCGUGGGGAGCAAACAGGAUUAGAUACCCUGGUAGUCCACGCCGUAAACGAUGUCAACUAGCCGUUGGGAGUCUUGAACUCUUAGUGGCGCAGCUAACGCAUUAAGUUGACCGCCUGGGGAGUACGGCCGCAAGGUUAAAACUCAAAUGAAUUGACGGGGGCCCGCACAAGCGGUGGAGCAUGGUGGUUUAUUCGAGCACGCGAGACCUUACCUGGNNUGAC